This is a long non-coding RNA of Prinia subflava (tawny-flanked prinia), 9376 nucleotides long. RefSeq lists it as uncharacterized. The transcript is spliced from 4 exons. NCBI's taxonomy places the organism in Eukaryota, Metazoa, Chordata, Aves, Passeriformes, Cisticolidae. The record is from RefSeq and is a predicted model, not a curated record.
UUAGAAUAAUGUGCACAGAGAAGCUCUCAAAACAAUGUCGUGUGUUUUCCCUCUGUGUGAGUCAGAGUUCCACUUGAGAGCCUCCAGCUACUCAAAAACUCGCCUGCUUUUCUCUCUCAGCAAGUUCAGGCUCCAGAAACGGUUAUGGCCGUUUGACGUUUUAAAUGUGACUACGUGAGAAUUUCAGCUUCCAUUUGGAGAAAAAUAAAGAUUCUGGCUAUCAAAAGGUGAAUUUUCCACACCUGAUUUAUGCUGCAGUUGCACAACAGCUAUGUCUGAUGCAAAGGGAGUGAUGGCAGCCUUUGGGGCUGGAAGGGCCUGAGGCUGUAGAGUGUCCUUGGUUCCGAGGCCUAGAAGGAUUGCUUUGUCUGACCAAAAUGUGGAGACCGUAACUAACACUCUAUAUGGAGUUCAGAGUUAUGCACUAAUGCAGUGCAGGAUUUCAAAACUAUAAAAGCUAAAAACUUAAGACAUCAUGUAGAGCAUGAGAAGCCAGCUGGUGAAUGGUCACAAGCCAGACUACCCACAGGGUGCACACAAGUGUCCACAGAAUGACCAUCUCUGCACUGUGGUGACCUGGGUGGUAGCUCUGCAUCAUUUCUGCAAGCACAGUUUGUCCUGCUAUGUGCACAAAACCCCAGUCCCACGCUCCGUGAGGUUGACCCUGAGAGCCACAAUGCAGCUGACAGAGUUAACGUUUAAAAAUAAAAGAUGCCUCCACGGGAAAAUCCUCAUGGGUCAGAAAAAGGAAGAUAGUUCUGGUGAGCUUCAAAUCUAUUGUCCACAGGAGAAAUCUGAAAGAAAUAUGAGAGAAGAAUAAUAUCCCAUAUUCUUUCUCUCGUCCCUGAAAUUAUGGAAUAUCUGAAAACUGAACUUUGCUGUAAGAGGACAAAAUGAAUGACCAAUGUAAAAUCAUUUGGGGUCUCUAUGUGAAAAUAUACCUAUUUGUCUGCUUUUAAGUAGAAACUCUCAGGAAAAAAAAAAAAAACAACAACCAAACAAACCAAAAAAACACAACAAACCCAAACUCAAAGAACAACCUUACAUUUUUUAAUCAGUCUAUCUGACAUUUUAAAACUGACUUCAUUUUUGUCAUGGGAAAGGGAAAAAGGAACCUUUUUGCUUUAGUCAUGUAUUUUCCCCUCAAAAGAAAAAGCAGCUAAAUUAAGGGCUUUAGGACAUGGAAACAAGUAAAGCUCCUAGGGCAAAUCACCUAGAGAGAAGUUCAGAAGUUAAGCAGUCAGUGUUACUGACUAUACCUCUCUCAUUGCAUGGUAAGAUUAUUUUCUAAAAAAAGUACACCAUUGGCAUCCAUAUCUUCCACUAUAUUUUAAGGUAAGAGACUGGGGAAUUUGUCUGAAGACCAUAAAUUUCAUCAGGAUUCAGAAUGACUGAUACAAGAUGUGUUAAUUGCAGUUAAACAAACAGAUUACUGGCAACAAUCAAUAGAGUAGAAGAGAGAAGCAGGUUUACAGAGAUAUGAGAAUAUCCUGUGGGUUUCUUCAUCUUUUUUUUUGUUGGAGGGUUUUAGGGUUUUUUUGGUACACCUUUUGAAUGUUAAUAUUCUGCUGAAGAAUGUUUCGGUCUGCAGCGUAGCUGCUGUACUCGGCCAGGCAGGAUCCACUGCAAAGCUGCAGGGCUGAAAUUAUAGCCUUGUUUCAAGAAAACAACAGCAGUGUGAGCUACUUGCUUCUUACACACAAAAGAGGAUUUUCAGAUGAGUUUGUGGGGCUUUUUUUUUUGUACAAAAUUCUAAGCCUUAAAAAUGCAGCUUUUUAAACUUGUGUAUUCACCAUUCCUUUGACAGUCCCUGAUCAUUUCUGUUUAGAAAUACAAGUGCAGAAGAAUGAAAACUAAAGAAUAUUGUAACUACCCCUAAUUGUUGUGGGAAGGGGUUCAAGUUCCUUCAAAACUAGAUGAAGGUGACCAACUCCUCAGGAAAAAAAGAAAAAAGAAAAAAAGAAAUGAAAAAUAAAAAAAAAAAGAAAAAAACCAAGAGGAAAAAAAAAGGAAAAAAAUGGAAAAGGAGCUUCAUUACAGUGGUUAUUCCUAAAGUUUUAUCUUCUUCUAUUAGUUGGUCCUCUGUAAUUUUACCAGUUGGUGGCUGAGACAUUAUUGUUACUGAGGUUUAUAAAUAUUUGCUGACCCCAGUCCCAUGAAAGAGUGGUUGUCAUCCUGCGAAUGUUUCACCUACCCAUGCUUCAUGCUGCUUGGUGUUCUCUUUCUUUUCCUUCCUCCUACUAACACAAUGUUCAGCUGACACAGCACUGUUUUUUGAUCACUUUUCAGGCAUUUCUUUUCCUAGGAAUACUUUGCAGGUAAUUUCAGAGGUGCCAAUACCAGGCCUAGACUGUCUGUGUCAUCCAGCAGUGCCUCCUUCCUGCUUAAAGGAAGAUCCAGUGUGCAAAGGAGAAGAAAGCAAAGGUGGGCAGACACCCAGAUAGACAUUUUAGGGAGCAGACAUGCCAGGCAGGCAGUAGCACAGCAUAUGCUCUGCUGUCUAGAAACAGCCAAGUUGAAUCCCAAAUCCUGGCAACUCCCUUGAAGUGGCAGAUCUGGUGAUAUAAAAAAUAUUUUCUUGCUAACUGUGUCUGUAAGCCUGACUCUGGUUUUAAGUAAGAAGAAGAAAUGUUUGACAUUGAACUAAACUGCUACUUGACUUACUUCAGGCUUCCUUCCAAAAUGUUUUUCCAAUUUCAAACACAAGUUAUUUAUGCCUCUGGAAAAAUGCUGCAGUGCUACAGGCACUGAGUGCCUGCUGCCUUCCAUUGUGGGGGGCACAUGAAUUUUGUCAGGCUGCAGCAAAUCCUGGUCCAUCCCACAUCCAAACAUUUUUGGUCAUUGUGUAUGAAACCACAGCUACAUUUGUUUUUCAAGCCUCUCCCCCACAGCUUAGAGGAGGAUCAGCUGCAGUUCAUCCAUCCCGCAGCAGUGCUCUUGCUUAAAAGACUAGAAUUAUGGAGGUUUAUUUAGCACCCUGAUAAAGAAAUAUCUCAGGAUGUUGUUAUUUUGUUUCUGUUUCACAUUUUCCCAAAUACUGCAGGAGUUGCAAUGUACAAAUAUGCACAAAAUUAUUUUAAUUAAAUACAAAAGCAAAUUAAGCUCUUGAAAGUAGAUUAAUGAAUAUUCUCACUGUGAAAAACAUAAAAGUUUGUGUUAGCAGAACUCUUCAGAAUGCAUUGAAACAAUAUGUACUAUAUGUGAUCUCUUACAAAAAGCUGAGACACUAGAGUGCAUAAUCUCUUGCACAGACUUUUUACACUAACAAGAGUCUGUAGAGAAAGGUGUAAUUUAGCUUUUCAAGCUGCACAAGGCUCUUCUUACUCUAUGUCUAAAUACAACUGAGGAAGUGUCCCAUGCCAUAAGACAGAAAGAUCUAGAAGGCUUCCAGAAAAAGUCCUACAUUUUCCCUUUCCUUGUAUUCAACAAGAUGCUUUCUUUCCUUGCAUUAAGCAGUGAUUAAUAUUAGCAGAUCACUGUAAUCUUUGCUGCAAAUAAAAUAUGUAAUUAUUUUGCCUAUCUUUGUCAGUUUCUGCCCAACCUGUUUCUACUAAGAUAGAUUUUUUGCUUUGUUCUUGCAACAGCAUAUGCAAAUGAAUUUCAGUCUUGCAUGUGUUUCAAACCCUGUGUUUCCAGCAUUCACUCAGUUUGUUUAUUUGGUUUAUAUGAUGGAAAGAUUGGUACUAAGAAUACACAAAUAACCACUACACACCUUUACCUAUAAAUGUCUUUGAAAGCAUUUGUACAAGGAAGAUCAGUUCCUGGAAGUCAAUGUAAACAAAAACCUGUCUGCAGGACUGAUAACGGAAAGAAAGGUUUUAAAGAUUGCUUAAAAUUUAGUGGGUCUACUUGUAGUCCAAGUGUAUAUUUGGAAGCAUUGUUGAGCAGCACUGGAACACUAUAGCAGUAGCAGCAUCUGUUGUCCUGCCAGGAGGGAAAAGACCACACUCCUGCACACAAAUGAGUCUUGAUACAGUUCCAAGUGAUGCCAGGCUUCUUAAACAUCAUGAAGUGGGGAGGGAAGGCACAUGCUGCCUGUUUUCAGGCAAAAUUUUGGAUGUAGCCCUUUCAUUUGUGCUCUAACAAUGCCAAGCAGAUGGGAGGCUUUCCUUUGUGCUUUAGCAGGCAGUCUGCAAGGGGAGAAAAAGAGCCAGCCCUGGUACAGCUGAGGCUGUGCUGACUCAUCCAAGCUGAGGCUCUGGCUCUAGCUGCGGCACUUGGAGUUAUUUAUUUCCCUUUUCUGCUUGUCCCAUCCAUCGGGUAAAGGUUGCUGCUAUUUCUAGCAAAGGCAGCAAAAGGAGGGGUGGCUCUGAAUGAUGGCUAUCACAGCUCACAGCAGGACAACCAGAGCCCCAAACACAGCUCCCUGAUGAGCUCACGUAAAGGAGCUGGGCUGUGACUUGUCCCCACUGAAGUACAGCUCGCUGCAGGGGUGAUAACCUUUGGCAGAAGGUAACCUGGGCAGGAGGGGACAAGAACGCAGCCACCUUCUCCAGGAGCCACGAAGUACUGGCACUAGCUGCAUAUCUAUUGGUGCCAGGGCACCUAGAUCAUACCAAAGUAAAGCUUUCAGAUAAUUUCCCAAAGGUAGUGACAGUGCGGUAUACAAGAAAUGUUCCUGCUGGUGCACUAAAUGUCACCUAAAGCCAUGUGUUGACAAUAUUUAUGAAGGAAGAGUAACAGCAUUUCUCCUGCUUCAGGUUCUUCAGAACCUCUGUCAGGUUCUGUUUAUUUGAGGGCUCCAUUAAUCUUAUUUUCUUUUAAAAGAGAAAGACAUUUCCUAAUAAUCACACCCCAAAGAGGGAGGUGAUGACUCUGAUCAAGGAAAUGUGGAGCAGUGUUCAAGCAAAGCAGUGAUUCUUGUGUGGAGUUUGGAAGUUCCUAACUGAGGACUAUUUUGGAGAGCUUGGCUGGCCAGCAUCUCUGGUAUGUUUGGAAGCAUCCUAGGGAGAUAUUUUUGUAAACCACCGCGAUAAGGCAGUCUAUUAAGGGUAAUUUAAUACUGCUGGGCAGUCAUUUCAAAUCAGCCUAUCUGUGGAUAUUGCUAAAUUGACUGUAGCAAAGAUAGGAAAUUCACACCAGCUCCCCCAGUGCAGCAGAGAAUUUUUCCAUCACAGUCCCGAAGUCUAGUAGAAGCUUUCUGAAAACAUGAUGGUGAUUCAGUCUUGUGACACCUCACUUUCUCUUUUCUCCUCUUGAGAAACAAGACCAGACUUUGAAUGAAGACAUUAUUAUUCCAGCCCUCAGAGGAGUCUCUGGCACAUCACUGGGUCUCACAAGGAUAUGUAUUUGCUCUGGAAAGACUGAAAUAUUAAUGAGAUUGGAAAGGGAGGGCUUAUGUGCUAAUGCAGCUGUGCUCAGACAGCUCUGCAUCACUCUGCUAUGGGCUUUUGUUUAUUCUAUCAGUUUCUGUAGAAAAUUCUGUUCACCCUUUAAAAAUUCUUUUAGGAAUUAAAAAUCCUUGAUGUAAUUAAAGCAAAUAUACUAUACAUGCUGUAGAAUUGGAGGGAAUAUGUGCAAAUUUUUUUAUGUUAAUUUUUUUAAUAUCACAUUUAUCUUAGUUUCUUCUCUGUCAGUGCAAGGAGGUUAAGUGAAAGGGUUACUCUCACACUGGAGAGAUAAGGCCAAAUAAGGACAGGCUAAAACUCUUUAUUGGAACACACCAGAGAGCAAAGCUCUUUUACUCCAGUGAGGAUUUCAAGAGUUUUAUAUCUCAGCCAUGACCUUUAAAUGAAAGUGCUGGACUAACAGCAGGGAGCUGAGACCAGAUUCUGUUCACAGUGACGUCUGGAGGGUGUGUGAGAGAACAGCCCUGAUGCUGCUUCUGUACUGCAGUCAGUGUUGUCCCAAAUAUGGGUUGUUCCCUGAGUGCAAGAAGAUAAGUAGGCAGAUAGACAGAUGGAUAGAUAGACAGAUAGACAGAAGAUAGACAAAUAGAUAGAUAGAUAGAUAGAUAGAUAGAUAGAUAGAUAGAUAGAUAGAUAGAUAGAUAGACAGAUAGAUAGAUGAAAAAGAAAUAUUUGUUUACCCCCUGCUCAGAGAUGGGUGCUGGGGUAAAUCCACAGACCAGCACCCUCUCUGCAUGCCAGCUCACCAUUUUUACAUCCUUCGAACAGUGACAGAUCAACACCUCCUCUGCAGAAAAAAAUAUUAAACUACAUUCAUUAGCCAAAUAUUUUGUCACCUUCGUUUAAAUACAACUGAUUGUACCUGUUAUGCUCUGUGGGGAAGGGGAUUAUGUGACUAAGGGGAAUCUACAGCCAAUGGGUGUGAACUUUGCUGUGCCAAUGGCUACGGGUUAGCACAAAAAUUCAACUCAAAUUCUUGCUUGGAGUUAUCAACUGCUUGUUCCUGCUUUAUCUCCUUGUUUGGUGGAUUUAUGGUGCCAUUCUCCUCCACUUCUUGCCUUUUUGGUAGAUUUAUGGCAUUGUCUUGUUCUCAGGUCUCCUAAUUUGGACCUUGACCCAUGGAUCCAUAUUUCUCUCCUGCAGAGAGGGCAAUUUGAUUCUUCUCUGUCUUACACAUAUAGCAAGAGGUUUGGGUGCAACUUGUGUGGGCAUGACCUGACUCUAAAGCAGCUCACGUGUCAGGAAUGACACACAGAAAUCCACAGCACUCUGCCAGAACCACACAGGGAUUACUGAUGGGUACGUGUUGGGCCUUCAGGGAAAUGCACCCAUCCUUGCCACACAACUGGCAGGAUCUGAGCUCUCUUUCAAAGGAAGGAUCCAUCAUUAACAGCUGACUGGGAGAGAAACGUUAACCUAUCUGUUGACUGAUGCAGCUGUCAGCAGGGCAAACUUCUCCAGAAACCAGAGAUAGGGUUUGUGAGGUUGAACAGACUUUAAAUGUUUCCAAAAAGAGGAUUUUGUGUGAAUUAAAGGAAAUAUGAAUAAAAAUCUUGUCUUUUUUUUUUUUCUUUUCUUUUUUUUUUUCUUUUUUUUUCUUUUUCUAUGCACUGUGAACUUCAAGACAAUGUGUAAUGCUCAAUUUUGACAAAGUGGUCCAUGAAGCGUAAAUUAAUGAUCUUUUACCACAUACAGCCCCAAAGGAGGCUUGGUGUGUGGCUGAUGGGUGGCUGCCUAGUCUGUGAGCCCGUUGGGCCAGGUACACAAGGAUUUUGCUGACUUAGAGCCCUACACAGAGGUAUUACACCUACUCACAUGAGUUGUGAUCUCAUGGAAUAACUUCAAGGAGUCUAGCUAAGGAAUUGUAAUUUCUUCUCUGAUCUGGAGACUGCUUGGUAGGAAUUUGGUUCAAAAAACAACAAACUUGCCUAUGUCAAUGAUCACAGAGAAGCAGCCCACAAACGCUCAUGAACUGCAUGGAAGAAGAUGAAAACCUUUGAUCUAUAACAAGACUGAGAUUGUGGCAGUGACCUGAAUUCUCUUCAACACAGAAUCUAAUUUUUUCCCAGCCUUGUUUAUUUAAAUAUGAUUAGCCAUAUGUCUGUGUUUAUGGCAAAUGUGCUAUUCACACAGAUGUCAUCUAUAUUAUAAGAAAGCUAUUGAUUUUCCACCUUGCACAUCCUGCUUUCAGUGCUUCUGGAGUUCCUCUGAGGAGUUUUGGAUUCUUUUAAUAGAUAGAUUUGGUGAAAUUUCUGUGAAAUGUGAAGCUCCUAUGGCUCCUCUUCUUUUGUUGCCAUCACUCUAAAAGCAGCUGACACCAAAGCAAUUUCUCUGUUUUCCCCUCUUGGAACAUCAAUGAACAGUCCCCAUCAUGCCCUUAAACCUCUGCAUCAUCAUCUCCAUGGUCUAGCAGGAGCAGCAAGGAGUCAAAGGUCUUUCUCAAGGCAGCAGAGACCCAGAAGGCUUAUAAUCAGUUCUAAAGCAGGAUGUGUGAAGUGUUGUCCAUGUUGAAGUGACCUCAUGCUAGUUUACCAUAGAAAAUGCAUCUUCCAAUUUUAAUAAAAUUGUGAAACACAAUGAGUCAUAUCCCUCUUCCUUCUGUUUUGUGUGAAUUCUGGUUUUACUGUGAGAGAACCAGUGGGGCAACCACCUUCAUGUCCAGCCUCUCAUCCACCAGCACCCACAAGCCCUUCUCCUCAGGGCUGCACUCCAUCCCUUCUCCACCCAGCCUGUGUUUGCUGCCCCAAACCAUGUCCAGGACCCAACACUUGGCCUUCUGGAACUUCAUAGGGUUUGAAUGGCCUCACUGAUGGCAUUUUUUGGCAUACAUGUAUGGCUUUUUUUAAAGUUUUAAUUUUUUUUUUUUUUUGAGAAACUUCACUCUAACAAUUCCUAUAAAUGCCACAGCGUUGCCAUGGUGACAGUAGGCUUUCAUAAGCUUUCAGAUAUAGCAGAACUUAUCUUUAUUCAUGAUGUUUGGCUGCUACUUAGUCUUAUAAAGCAGGCAUUAAAUUUACCAUUAAUAGCUCCACUUCUGUAUUCUAUCACUAUUUUUGGUUAGGCUUUGCAACAGAAUGAGAUAUUUGGGGUUUUUUUGCUUUUUUUUUAUUUAUUCUUAUUUUGUAUAGGUUCUUUUACAACUUGAAAAUUGUAAUUUUUUUCUAAAGAAUCUCAGUUUAAGGUUUUCAGAACAUUUUUAUUGAUGCUGUCUGAUCAUUUUGGAUAGAUUAAAGCAAAAUCUCACUGGUGCAAAGUUUAACUACCUGUUAAAAUCUUGCCAGUAUUUUCUGUGUUUUGUCUUUUGUGAUGAACAGCAAAGUUGGAUAACCAGAAAAGAGUGACCACAAAAUAUUACUGUGCAUUGGUCAGUAGUGUAAAAAUGAGAUGCCUCAUCUGUUUACCAUAUGGAUUUUCUGGUGCCAGAGGCCUGCACUACACAUUGCUGCUUUUCUUUCUUAAACAUGAUUGGCCCAUGGCAAUUUUUUCUCCUCCUAUCUUGUCAUUUCACAGUGUUAUGCUUUAGGUAGAGUUUUAUGCCUUAGGACUUUUUUUUUCCCUGUAGUUUUUUCUUCUGUUUAGGAUUCCAAGUUCUAUCUGCCUGUUGCCAAAGCUUUUCUUCUCCCAGGAAGGGUCAUUGUCAGACAUCAUCAAGCAAGAAGGUAUACUGUAGUGCCCUAGGUAACAAAAUAUAAAAUCAGAGCUUUAAAUCUGUUGAGGAGUUGUGAUUUUCUUUUCAUCUUUCCUCUCCCCAAGAUAAAUUUACAGGCUAUCUGGUCAAGAUUAUUAUUUUUAGUCAUUGUAGUUCUUACUGUAAAUAUGGACCAAUCACUUCCUUUAAUGUGAAAUCACAUCCAUUAACCAACCCUGAGUGCGUUGUGCAGAAAAAUGCAGCUUAUUUCCCUGAGGUACUCUGGUAUGCUGACCCUACACAUCUCACUAGCAAUUAUUUUAAUACAGCGUAAAUUUACCAUAUGACACAAUAAUCUCAGCUUCUCUGAGCUCCUCUCUGGGCCAUAUAGAGAAUUGGU